AGAGUUUGAUUAUGGCUCAGGACGAACGCUGGCGGCGUGCUUAACACAUGCAAGUCGAGCGAUGAAGCUCUUCGGAAGUGGAUUAGCGGCGGACGGGUGAGUAACACGUGGGUAACCUGCCUCAUAGAGGGGAAUAGCCUUCCGAAAGGAAGAUUAAUACCGCAUAAGAUUGUAAUAUCGCAUGAUAUAGCAAUUAAAGGAGUAAUCCGCUAUGAGAUGGACCCGCGUCGCAUUAGCUAGUUGGUGAGGUAACGGCUCACCAAGGCGACGAUGCGUAGCCGACCUGAGAGGGUGAUCGGCCACAUUGGGACUGAGGCACGGCCCAGACUCCUACGGGAGGCAGCAGUGGGGAAUAUUGCACAAUGGGGGAAACCCUGAUGCAGCCAACGCCGCGUGAGUGAUGACGGUCUUCGGAUUGUAAAGCUCUGUCUUCAGGGACGAUAAUGACGGUACCUGAGGAGGAAGCCACGGCUAACUACGUGCCAGCCGCAGC
This 493-nucleotide ribosomal RNA is filed under the name uncultured bacterium. Its description in RNAcentral is "bacterial SSU rRNA". It matches the Rfam family "Bacterial small subunit ribosomal RNA", at positions 8 to 518 of the family's 1533-position model. The record is from RNAcentral.